AUCUCUGGCCAUGCCAUCCUGAACAAGCCCGAUCCCUUCUGAUCUCAGAAGCUAAGCAGGGUCAGGCCUGGUUAGUACUUGGAUGGGAGACCACCUAGAAAGACCAGGUGCUGUGUUA
This 118-nucleotide ribosomal RNA is filed under the name Pteropus alecto (black flying fox). The record is from RNAcentral. Lineage: Eukaryota; Metazoa; Chordata; Mammalia; Chiroptera; Pteropodidae.